AAUAAAGAGGAGGAAGCCUAUCCAGUAUGCAAUACACAGUAUUUUUCAGAGCAAAAAGAAGGGAAAUCGCUGGAUAAAUAGGCCACUGCUGGCCACUGACGGCUGUGCUUUUUUUUGAUACAAACCUGGAGAAAUUCAGAGGAGAG
This is a non-coding RNA of Tinamus guttatus (white-throated tinamou), 146 nucleotides long. Lineage: Eukaryota; Metazoa; Chordata; Aves; Tinamiformes; Tinamidae. The record is from RefSeq and is a predicted model, not a curated record.